This is a long non-coding RNA of Chelonia mydas (Green sea turtle), 1299 nucleotides long. RefSeq lists it as uncharacterized. The transcript is spliced from 2 exons. The record is from RefSeq and is a predicted model, not a curated record. NCBI's taxonomy places the organism in Eukaryota, Metazoa, Chordata, Testudines, Cheloniidae.
CUAAGGAACACUCCUCCUGGUGCAUGAUGUGCUUGCUUUUAGACAGUGGUGGGCCCCAAACCAAAAUGGAGUCACAUGUGCUAACUUUUCCUUAACAGUAGCUUUCACGUCACAGUACACGAGGCACUGGAACUAGUAUCAGUGGAUGCCCUCAGGCAAUGAGCCAUAAGCGCAUCUGUUGCCAGGGGAUGAGGAAACGCUGAGUGACAUUGUAGACGGGCUCAGACCCGAGAGCUCUAAAAACGGGAGGGAGUUGGAGAGCUCUGAAAGCCGCACUCUUGCUGUGCUCGCGCUAGCUGGGGUGCGGUCGCUGUGGGAGGUCCCUUCCAGCGUGAGUUACCUGUUCUCUAGGGCUCGGUGAUCCCAGUUGUGCAGAGAACAUACGUGAACAUAUUUCCUGAGGCAGGGUCUGCAGAGGAUGUUCAUUGCCCUAUUAUGUGCCUUCACCGCCCCCAGAAAGAGUGACUUGCUAGUCCUCUUUCUCCUGGGCAGGAUGGCCAAAGUCCUAUGGCCACCCCAUUUCUAAUCCAGAAAUGUAGCCCCUGGACUAAUGUCCCAGCGAGCAAUGAGCUGAGUGGCCAACUCAUUGUAACUUUUGCCUUCUGGGACCUGCUGCAUCUCCUGUUCGGCUUUCCCUGUGGGAGAAAACCUUGGCUGGGGCCUUUAAACCCCUCUGACUUUCCCCUGCUCUUGCAUCGUAGUUCCUGAGCUCAGGCUGGGCUCUGGCUCGGCCUGCUGGCCUCUAGCACAGCUGCAUGUGUCUCACAGUGAGGAAUUCCUGCCUCCAGCGGGUCCGUGGUCUGGCGUGUGGCAGCUCUGCGGGAUGGCCGGCAGUAAAGGCCAGUCACAAGCCCUGAAUCUUAGUUUCCGAUGGACCGUCUAGAUGCUCAGACUAACACGGCUGCUGCUCUGAAAGGAAUUUUAAGACACGUGCAACCUCCCUGCUGCCAACAGUCUCUCCUUUUGGGGACUGGACUCUGGGUUACAGGCCACCCUGCUGCAGCUUGAGCCUGUGUCAGGGACGUUGGCUGGGGGAAGGGUUUUGAUACGCCAUCUUCACAGUGCCACCUGCGGGCUGAUGGCUGCCAUUGCAGCACUGGAAGUGGCAAAUACAAGUACGUACUGCCUGGAUAAGACCACAGGAGCCUGGCAGAUCAGAGCAUCGAUUUGAAGUUCAGUGUUAGGCUGGAUGGGACACACCUGUCCAGGAUGUGAAUCAUUCAACUCCCUCCUGUGCCAUUUUGUUUUAAACUGUAGCUUCUGGCCUGUUAUUCCACAUUAAAAAGAAAUCUUCCAUGA